CCUACGGGUGGCAGCAGUGAGGAAUAUUGGUCAAUGGACGGAAGUCUGAACCAGCCAUGCCGCGUGCAGGAUGACGGCUCUAUGAGUUGUAAACUGCUUUUGUACAAGGGUAAACCUGAAUACGUGUAUUCAGCUGAAAGUACUGUACGAAUAAGGAUCGGCUAACUCCGUGCCAGCAGCCGCGGUAAUACGGAGGAUCCAAGCGUUAUCCGGAUUUAUUGGGUUUAAAGGGUGCGUAGGUGGAUUGAUAAGUUAGAGGUGAAAUGUUCGAGCUUAACUCGGGAACUGCCUCUAAUACUGUUGGUCUAGAGAGUAGAUGCGGUAGGCGGAAUGUAUGGUGUAGCGGUGAAAUGCUUAGAGAUCAUACAGAACACCGAUUGCGAAGGCAGCUUACCAAUCUAUAUCUGACGUUGAGGCACGAAAGCGUGGGGAGCAAACAGGAUUAGAUACCCGGGUAGUC
RNAcentral lists this ribosomal RNA (460 nucleotides) under uncultured bacterium. Its description in RNAcentral is "partial 16S ribosomal RNA". It matches the Rfam family "Bacterial small subunit ribosomal RNA", at positions 338 to 795 of the family's 1533-position model. The record is from RNAcentral.